Molecule: microRNA precursor, 151 nt
Filed under: Linum usitatissimum (flax)
Lineage: Eukaryota; Viridiplantae; Streptophyta; Magnoliopsida; Malpighiales; Linaceae
Description: miR167b stem-loop (lus-MIR167b)
Gene: lus-MIR167b
Rfam family: MIR167 microRNA precursor family (bases 16-134)
Source: miRBase by way of RNAcentral
UAUAUGCCCAAGUGUUGGGGUGAGAGGCUGAAGCUGCCAGCAUGAUCUUGGUCAACAAAAGCCAUCUUUCAGCUUCAAGUUUUGAUGGUUGAGUCUGAAGAUCAGGUCAUCUUGCAGCUUCAAUCACUCACUAACCAACACCAAACUUAUA